This 330-nucleotide ribosomal RNA is filed under the name uncultured bacterium. Its description in RNAcentral is "bacterial SSU rRNA". It matches the Rfam family "Bacterial small subunit ribosomal RNA", at positions 568 to 898 of the family's 1533-position model. The record is from RNAcentral.
CGCGUAGGUGGUAGUGUAAGUCUGGGGUGGAAUCCCAGGGCUUAACCCUGGAACUGCCUUGGAAACUGCAUUACUUGAGUCAGUGAGGGGAGGGUAGAAUUCCUGGUGUAGCGGUGAAAUGCGUAGAUAUCAGGAGGAAGGCCUGUGGUGAAGGCGGCCCUCUGGCGCUGGACUGACACUGAGGCGCGAAAGCGUGGGGAGCAAACAGGAUUAGAUACCCUGGUAGUCCACGCCCUAAACGGUGGGCACUAGGUGUAGGGCUCGUAAGGGUUCUGUGCCGAAGGGAAACCAUUAAGUGCCCCGCCUGGGGAGUACGGCCGCAAGGUUGAA